UGAUCUUUGGCUUGAUCUGCAUCUGUACCAAGCUAUAAAACACUUGUAAAUGGUGAAACAGAGGAAAAGAGAAAAAAGGGUGAGCAAAAUGAAAAGAAAGAUAAUUAGAGGGGCUGUGAUUUUGCUGUGGUGGUGUGGAGGAUCUACCGGAGGAGUGAUUAAUUCAGGCGGCGGCGGCAGCGGUGGGAUGUGGGAUAAGAUUUUAUUGUAACAAUUUGAAAUGCAAAUUGAGAAGCAAGAAAAGGGACAUAAACCAUGUGGGUUUUUUAUUGGGUCGCAAUAUGGUUUACAGAAUAAUUUUCUAUGAGAAAAGGCCAUGGAUUAUUAGGAGGAAUGGAGAGAGAUGGGGGGUGGCCUUAGUUUUGAGGAGAGAGAAAACAUGUUAUUUUGUUACAGGAAAUUUGAUGGGGUUAACGAUGAA
RNAcentral lists this long non-coding RNA (421 nucleotides) under Panax ginseng (ginseng). RNAcentral's name for it is "long non-coding RNA (PGIN_LNC004851)". The record is from RNAcentral. Lineage: Eukaryota; Viridiplantae; Streptophyta; Magnoliopsida; Apiales; Araliaceae.